GACAUUAGUAUAAAGCAGGCGUCCUACAGCCUUGUGCAAUGCUAAGUGUUUUGCACAACUAGCUAACAUUCCAUCUAAAACAGCUUAAUGAGAAUAACCCAUGUAUGUCCUUGAUGAAUCAUUUUUCGUAUUUGAUCAAAAGCCUGAUAAAAGUGGGCGUAUUUUAAAAAAAAUAAUAAAAAAUUCCCCAUCACACACACCGCCGACUCCAUGCAUACACACUCACACACACCAGGAGGCCUUAUUAAUUAUUUGUAGCCACUUGACUUCAUAUUGUGAAGCCAGUGGCUUGGUCAAAGAUUAUAAUUACCACUUCCCUGUUUGUAUCAUUUUCAUCUCUUGUGCUUUUAGUGCAGUAUUACCUCUCUUGUCGCUCUCUCGCUUGCUUCCUCCCUCUCUCCCGUAUACACAAGACCAAAAGUGCAGCCACAUCAUUUAUUGAUAAGACAAAAAGAAUGUAAUGAAAUUAUCAAUGUUCUUGAAUUAAUUAUGAACAUGAUUAAGAAAGCUAAAAUCUCAGGAGCCGGUCUCUCAUUACCCAUUCACUCCUAGGGAUUGCUUUCAUUCAGUAAAGGAGAGGCGAAAAAGCCUUGCAGCAGAGCCCAGUCAGGCUCAGUCCGUCUCCCCGUGUGCCUGUCCCAAGGUCUCUACUGCUGGGCUCCACUGACCAAACCUCCGACAUGCCCGGACCUCGCUCCCACUCGUGUGCUUUUACCGCUGGAAUGAUGCGAACCUCCUUGUGGCCCUCAGAUGUCUGCCCGGAAAUACCAUCAUAUGCUCAACUCAGCUCGUGUGCUCUGUUUGAGAUAAUUGCCGUCGUCCAGCACUGAAAACUUUUGGCCAAACUAAAAAGUUUAAUUCAAGGGAACACAGCCUCCUCUUCUGGACAAAAAUGAAAGCAGCAAUACUAGUGAUGAAGCCCUCACAGGUGGUGUUUGGUGUGUAACAACCCUUGUUGCUAUGAGUCCUACAAAUCAAGUUUACAGCAAUCAUGGCGGUUCUACAGGAUAUGCGAAGCCAACGCGGACGAAAAUGCGACCCGGAAGCAAAUGAAGAGUGAAGUGAUAUUUAUUGAACUCAGG
Long non-coding RNA from Corythoichthys intestinalis (scribbled pipefish), 1082 nucleotides. RefSeq lists it as uncharacterized. Lineage: Eukaryota; Metazoa; Chordata; Actinopteri; Syngnathiformes; Syngnathidae. The record is from RefSeq and is a predicted model, not a curated record. The transcript has 3 exons.